RNAcentral lists this long non-coding RNA (217 nucleotides) under Elaeis guineensis (African oil palm). RNAcentral describes it as "long non-coding RNA (EGUI_LNC030822)". Lineage: Eukaryota; Viridiplantae; Streptophyta; Magnoliopsida; Arecales; Arecaceae. The record is from RNAcentral.
UGUGCCUACUUUAUGGUGAGAUUAAAUCUCAUCUUAACCACAUUAUGGGGACCAUGUCAAUAUGAGAAAUUGGAUAAAACUAAAAAGGUCUAUUUUUUCCUAAUAAUUUUUUUUUCUUUUUUUUUUUUGCCUAGAUGGUUAAAAAAAAAAAGAGUAUAAGUUUCCUUAACAUUAUUAUUAUUUAGACUGAUAAUGAAAAUAAUAGCCCUUUCCUGCC